RNAcentral lists this long non-coding RNA (212 nucleotides) under Gossypium barbadense (sea-island cotton). RNAcentral's name for it is "long non-coding RNA (GBAR_LNC017292)". The record is from RNAcentral. Lineage: Eukaryota; Viridiplantae; Streptophyta; Magnoliopsida; Malvales; Malvaceae.
UAUUAGUGGUUGCUUCUUUUAGAAGUGCCAAGUUUUAAUUUUAAUUUAUUUGAACGGAGCUUGGAGCUUUAAAUUAAUCUGCUGAUGUGUAUUUGUUAGAUUCUAAUUUGGAAUCAAGAACUGGAAGAUAAACUUUUGGUUUGUGGAACUUUUUUUUUUCUUGAUUUCAGUUAGAUUUUUGUGAUUAAACCUAUAGUCUUGGUCAAUUUCCG